GGGUCGAAUCGGAGCUGUAGCUGCCAGCCUAUGCCAGAGCCACAGCAACGCAGGAUCCAAGCCGCAUCUGUGACCUACACCACAGCUCACGGCAACGCCGGGUCCUUAACCCAUUGAGCGAGGCCAGGGAUCAAACCCGAAACCUCAUGGUUCCUAGUCAGAUUCGUUUCCCUUGCGCCACAAUGGGAACUCCUGGAAAGGCAUUAUUUCAAUGGGAUGGGAUAACCUUAGAAAAUUAGUUAAAUCCCAAGAGCUCAAGCUAGAAGGUGUCACGUUAAGAAACAUAUGCUUACUUGUUUCUUAACCUUAGAGCUGCUCUGAAAAUCCACAGCACAGCUUGGAGACCCCCGGCUUGGCUGGAGGCUUUUUGGGGGAGGUUUCCCUCAGCUUUUCUUGAGCAACUUUUGAACUAGGGCUGCGGAAGCCUGUUUCAAGUGGUCAAGGAAGCCUUGUCAGGUGAAGCCAGUAUUUCCUGCCAAAUUCUGAGAUAAAAAUCAGGAGAUUUUAAAGGUAAUUCAGGGUGUGGGGUGAGUGGAGAACAGGUGUCUCCAAGCCGUUCAACUGGAAAUCUCGGCGUUUGCUUUGUGUACAGGUGGCACCUACCGCUGGCUUCCCCUGAGGUCACAAAGGCACUUUUUUCUCCAGGGCGAACCUUCCCCUCGGCCCUGCUCCUGCGUCCCAGUGGUCACCAUGGCUGGAGGUGGCGGGAGGGGGAACCCUGGCUGGCCCGGCUUCUUCGCUGAGAUCAAAGGAGCUUCUUCCCAGCGCCUUUUACUUCACAUGGGACUGAUGGAGAUAAAACUUAGGAACCUGUGCCCUGCUGGUUUGUUCUCGUAUUCCUUGCACAUUUGCCAGCUUGCGUUUAGAGGAGACCCCGAGGGGGCAGUUGAAGAGCAUUGCUCGCCUCCGGCUGGCCAAGCAGGGCCCCGGGGGUGACCUGGGCCCGAGCUGUCAUUCAAGAAAACUUUGGCACCAAGUAAUGUUCAUUUUCCUGAAAGGAGAUCUGAUCAAGGCAGACAUCUCCUUCACCCCUGCUUGCAAGCAAAUUCUUUUUAAAUUGUGGUCAAAUAUGCAGGACCUACCAUUGACUCUUUGAACCAUUUUAAGUGUACACACAGUUCAGGAGACUUAACCCACCCACAUCCUCGCGGGCUGUGUAGUCACGUAUGGCCUACACCACAGCCACAGCAACGCAGGAUCCUUAACCCACUGAGCGAGUCAGGGAUUGAAGCUGCAUCCUCAUGGAUACUAGUCGGAUUUGUUUCACUGCGCCACCAUGGGAACUUCCUGUCCCUCCUUUUUAAGGCUGAAUAAUAUUCCACUGUGUGUACGACACCGCAUUUGUGUAUCCAUUCAUCCAUCUGUGGUCACGUGGGUUGUUUUCACCUUUUGGCUCUUGGCAGUAAUGCUGCUAUGGACACAGUGUACAGGUAUCUUUUCCUUUCAUUUCUCUUGGCUGUGUACCCAGACGUGGAAUUGCUGGGUCAUCUGGCAGUUCUGUUUUUAAUUUUUUGAGGAAUUGUCAUACUGUGCUCUGUAGCUGCAUUAUUUUGCUCCCCAUCCGACAGCAUGCACGGGGUCCUGCUUCUUUCCAACCUCACCAGGGCAUGUUUUUUCCUCCUUUUUAUGUAGUCUGCCUUUUGAAAACUUCUCAGCACUCGCUUUCGGCAGCCCCAGGGUGUAGGUGUUGCUUAGUUCCUGGAAGCGUGUUGCCAGGUGGGGCCCCGACCCUGUCACUUGCUAAUAAUUAUAGAACAGCUUUGCUUCCAAAUGGAGGUAUCUUCAGAUUUGCAAAUAGAUUCCUCGGUGGAGAGGGUAGGGAAAGAUCUCCAAGCAACUUGUGAUUUUUUGUGGUGGAAAAAUAUACCCGCUGAUCCCGCAAAGGAAAGACCACAGGGCUGGAAGUUGAGGAAUCUGAGUUUGGCUCUGUCUCUGCGGGGGCGGGGGGGGGGGUCGGGGAGCUCAGCCUGCCUGGUAACCUUGAAUUUACUCGUUAAGAGCGGGAGGGCUGCUUUGGUCUUGAGGACAGGAGCACAGAGCGGCGUUUCACUUCAAUUAUUAAAGAUGCUCUUUCGGUUGCUCAGGAUUGAGGCGGGCAGCCUUUAUCUUUGGACGGUUGGAGCUGGAAUUGGACCUUGCGGGUCACCUGGGCCAGUGUCCUCAUCUCACGGACGAGAAGCUGGGCCGCUGAGAUGGGAAUCCCAGGCCGUUGGGAGGUUUUUCUUUCCUAUGAAUAAAACACUGGCCAGCAGGUCCUGAGGCCUUCCCAGGAGCGGGGCUGGCAGAGCCUUGCUGGCGUCCCUGUCACUCGGGGUGACUGUAGCUCAUACACGAGGGCGAUGAAGCUGGGGGAGGACGCCGUGGGGGGUGGGAGCGGGUCUCGACAGAACCAAAGCUGAGGUCCGAUCCGGGAUUGGGAUCUUGGGCAUUUGUUUCCUGGGGCGCUUUUGCUUGUCCUUGGGUUGUCUCAUCUGAAAGGCCUCACACCUACAGCGUUACCGUGAGAGUCACGUGGACACGAGGCCACGUAUCUGAAAGAAAUUGAGCAAAAAUGUCAUUUACACCACGGGCACCGCUGUGCAGCUAGAGGUUUAUGUUUGUCAUGAGUCCAGCGUGUUAAAAUCUAGGUUGACCGUUGCGAUGAUAAUUUCUCUUAUAAAGGGAUUUCCUGGAAGAAGUAUCAGGGUUACAGAUGACCCUUCUCUAUAUUGUUCACCUUUUCAGGAACUGUCCUCCCCUCCCUUGCCCGGGGAAAUUAACGUGCACUGCUAAACAGAGUUAAACUGUGCUGGAUUUUAUGUCGUUAAGUACCGGCCUUUGAUAGCCGAGGCGGCUGCACUGCCAGGUCUGCCCCCACUGAGUGUCUGCCCGCUUCCUCAUCUGAGGGAGGAAGUAUGGUAUUGAUCCAGAGGGCAUCAUUUAAAAUGGUACAGCACGAGUUCUGGCUGUGCCUCAGUGGUAACGAACCUGACGAGCAUCCACAAGGACGCGAGUUCAAUCCCUGGCCUUGCUCAGUGGGUUAAGGAUCCAGCUUUACCAUGAGCAGUGGUGUAGGUUGCAGACGCAGCUCAGAUCCCACAUUGCUGUGGCUGUGGGAUAGGCUGACAGCUGCAGCUCUGACUUGACCCCCAGCCUGGGAACUUCAUAUGUUGCAGGCAUGGCCCUAAAAGCCAAAAAAAAAAAAAAA
This 3187-nucleotide long non-coding RNA is filed under the name Sus scrofa (pig). RNAcentral's name for it is "lncRNA (ENSSSCG00015056244.1)". The record is from RNAcentral. Lineage: Eukaryota; Metazoa; Chordata; Mammalia; Artiodactyla; Suidae.